This 482-nucleotide ribosomal RNA is filed under the name uncultured bacterium. RNAcentral's name for it is "bacterial SSU rRNA". It matches the Rfam family "Bacterial small subunit ribosomal RNA", at positions 28 to 509 of the family's 1533-position model. The record is from RNAcentral.
GAUGAACGCUAGCGGCAGGCUUAAUACAUGCAAGUCGAGGGGCAUCAAGGUACACGAAAGUGUAUUGUUGGCGACCGGCGGACGGGUGAGUAAUAGGUAGGUAACCUACCUCAUACUGAGGCAUAGCUGGGAGAAAUUCCAGGUAAUUCCUCAUGAGGUUAUAUGACACAUGUGAUAUAAUCAAAGGUAUCGCAAGGUACUGGUAUGAGAUGGGCUUACUGACCAUUAGCUAGUUGGUGAGAUAAGAGCUCACCAAGGCGAAGAUGGUUAGGGGUUUUGAGAGAGAGAUCCCCCACAUUGGAACUGAGAUACGGUCCAGACUCCUACGGGAGGCAGCAGUAGGGAAUAUUGCGCAAUGGACGGAAGUCUGACGCAGCGACGCCGCGUGAGCGAUGAAGGUCUUCGGAUCGUAAAGCUCUGUCCUUGGGGAAGAAGGCGAAAGCUUGACGGUACCCAAGAAGAAAGCCCGGUAACUACGUGCC